GCCGUUAGUUGAGCAACUUGGUGGCUCCUCUGUCUUGAAAACAGGUGGUCUGAAAUAUGGCAUGGAGGUUCGAAUCCUUCCUACGGCG
Molecule: transfer RNA, 88 nt
Filed under: bacterium
Lineage: Bacteria
Description: tRNA-Ser
Rfam family: tRNA
About the family: Transfer RNA (tRNA) molecules are approximately 80 nucleotides in length. Their secondary structure includes four short double-helical elements and three loops (D, anti-codon, and T loops). Further hydrogen bonds mediate the characteristic L-shaped molecular structure. tRNAs have two regions of fundamental functional importance: the anti-codon, which is responsible for specific mRNA codon recognition, and the 3' end, to which the tRNAs corresponding amino acid is attached (by aminoacyl-tRNA synthetases). tRNAs cope with the degeneracy of the genetic code in two manners: having more than one tRNA (with a specific anti-codon) for a particular amino acid; and 'wobble' base-pairing, i.e. permitting non-standard base-pairing at the 3rd anti-codon position.
Source: RNAcentral